UAAUUUAAUUAUUUUUAUUCUCUUCAUCGUCAAUUUAAGGUAUAGUUUUGAUGAAAUAAUUACGCUGGGAGACACAAGUUCAGUUUCCAUUUUCUCUAAAAGACACAUUGUAUAUAUGACACACUUUCUCAUAGCAAAUUGACUAACAUAACCUUUAAGUAAGACAAUAAGAUAGUUUCUUUAUUCUUUCUUUAGUUAGCCUUUCUAAAGAAUAAAAUAAACUCUAUUUGUUUUUUUUUUAAACAAAAAUCUUAUUUUUCCAGAUUCCCAAAUUCAGAAAAGUAAUCCUAACUCCUUUACCUCUCGACAUUUUUUCGAUUUGGAAAUCGAAUUCUGGAAACGAACCAUAAUCUUCUCGAUCCAAAAUUCUCCCUAACCCCCUUUUUCCAUGCCAACAUCUUCUCCAUCUCUAUUCUCAAGCAUACAUCUAUUGGUCUUCUCUACCGUCUAUGGAAGCGAUGGUGGCUAUGAACAAGGUGGUGGUAGCUAUAAACGGCGGCGCUUAGUUCCAUGGAAGCGGUGGUGGACACCGUAGUGAGAUGGGAGUGGAUACCAUAGUGGAGGCAGUGGUGGUUAUGGAGGAGGCGGUGGAGACGUGAUAGUUAUGAAGGUGACAAUAGCUCUCUUGGUCAAUGUGUGCGUGGAUAUUGUUUGAUGUGGUCGGAAGAGUUGUGGAUGAGGAUCGGUGGCUCUCUUGGUCAAUGUGUGUGUGGAUAUUGUUUGAUGUGGUCGGAAGAGUUGUGGAUGAGGAUCUCGUUUUCAGUGGUUGUGUUGAUGUUGUCAAGAGAAUCGUGGUUAAGAAAAUUGUGGUCAAGAGAAUUGUGGUUAAGAAAAUUGUGUUAUAGAAGAGAGCAUUGUGGAUAAGAUAGUUAUGGACAAGAUACUUGUGGUCAAGAGAAUUGUGUUAACAUUUUUAUAAAGAAGCCAUGCAAUUCAAACCUCGUACUCACAAACAUGUAU
This 960-nucleotide long non-coding RNA is filed under the name Brassica napus (rape). RNAcentral's name for it is "long non-coding RNA (BNAP_LNC019259)". Lineage: Eukaryota; Viridiplantae; Streptophyta; Magnoliopsida; Brassicales; Brassicaceae. The record is from RNAcentral.